This 277-nucleotide ribosomal RNA is filed under the name Salmonella enterica subsp. enterica serovar Typhimurium. Its description in RNAcentral is "partial 23S ribosomal RNA". It matches the Rfam family "Bacterial large subunit ribosomal RNA", at positions 321 to 598 of the family's 2925-position model. The record is from RNAcentral. Lineage: Bacteria; Pseudomonadati; Pseudomonadota; Gammaproteobacteria; Enterobacterales; Enterobacteriaceae.
CAUGUGUGUUAGUGGAAGCGUCUGGAAAGGCGCGCGAUACAGGGUGACAGCCCCGUACACAAAAGCGCAUGUGCUGUGAGCUCGAUGAGUAGGGCGGGACACGUGGUAUCCUGUCUGAAUAUGGGGGGACCAUCCUCCAAGGCUAAAUACUCCUGACUGACCGAUAGUGAACCAGUACCGUGAGGGAAAGGCGAAAAGAACCCCGGCGAGGGGAGUGAAAAAGAACCUGAAACCGUGUACGUACAAGCAGUGGGAGCACAGGUUUACCUGUGUGACU